UACAGAGGGUGCGAGCGUUAAUCGGAAUUACUGGGCGUAAAGCGCGCGUAGGCGGCUUUGCAAGUCGAGUGUGAAAUCCCCAGGCUUAACCUGGGAACUGCAUUCGAGACUGCAUAGCUAGAGUAUGGGAGAGGGAAGUGGAAUUUCCGGUGUAGCGGUGAAAUGCGUAGAUAUCGGAAGGAACAUCAGUGGCGAAAGCGACUUCCUGGACCAAUACUGACGCUCAUGUGCGAAAGCGUGGGGAGCAAACAGG
Molecule: ribosomal RNA, 253 nt
Filed under: uncultured bacterium
Lineage: Bacteria
Description: partial 16S ribosomal RNA
Rfam family: Bacterial small subunit ribosomal RNA
Source: RNAcentral